This 186-nucleotide ribosomal RNA is filed under the name uncultured bacterium. RNAcentral describes it as "partial 16S ribosomal RNA". It matches the Rfam family "Bacterial small subunit ribosomal RNA", at positions 1317 to 1500 of the family's 1533-position model. The record is from RNAcentral.
UUCAUGAAGCCGGAAUUGCUAGUAAUGGCAGGUCAGCAUACUGCCGUGAAUACGUUCCCGGGCCUUGUACACACCGCCCGUCACACCAUGAGAGUUGGGGAUACCCGAAGCCUGUGAGCUAACUAUUUAUAGGAGCAGCAGUCGAAGGUAGAAUCAAUGAUUGGGGUGAAGUCGUAACAAGGUACC